This 551-nucleotide ribosomal RNA is filed under the name Penicillium sp. ASR-166. RNAcentral's name for it is "eukaryotic LSU rRNA". The stretch from base 217 to 370 matches the Rfam family "5.8S ribosomal RNA". Lineage: Eukaryota; Fungi; Ascomycota; Eurotiomycetes; Eurotiales; Aspergillaceae. The record is from RNAcentral.
CCUUUCCGUUAGGUGAACCUGCUGUAAGGAUCAUUACCGAGUGCGGGCCCUCGCGGCCCAACCUCCCACCCUUGUCUCUCUACCCCUGUUGCUUUGCGGGCCCACCGGGUCCACCUGGUCGCCGGGGGUACGCACGUCCCCGGGCCCGCGCCCGUCCGAAGCGCUCUGUGAAUCCCUGAUGAAGAUGGGCUGUCUGAGUACGAUGAAAAUUGUCAAAACUUUCAACAAUGGAUCUCUUGGUUCCGGCAUCGAUGAAGAACGCAGCGAAAUGCGAUAAGUAAUGUGAAUUGCAGAAUUCCGUGAAUCAUCGAAUCUUUGAACGCACAUUGCGCCCCCUGGCAUUCCGGGGGGCAUGCCUGUCCGAGCGUCAUUUCUGCCCUCAAGCACGGCUUGUGUGUUGGGUGUGGUCCCCCCGGGGACCUGCCCGAAAGGCAGCGGCGACGUCCGUCUGGUCCUCGAGCGUAUGGGGCUCUGUCACUCGCUCGGGAAGACCUGCGGGGGUUGUCACCACCAUAUUUACCCGUGACUCGAUGCAGUAGAGUACCCCUGAU